AUUUUCAUAAAGAUAGCAUGUCAUUUGAGAAAUAGUCCUUAUUUUUGCUAUUCUAAUAAGUGUUUAUUUAAUAGUGAAAUACAUAAAUGAAUGAAUUAGCUCUUACGGGCCAAGCACCAGUCCUGAAACAUGUUUUUUUGGGGGAAAAAAAUAACCCAAAGUGUCCCACAGUCAAAUAAAUUUGGGAACACUGUAUUCUAUAAUUCCUGGAAAUUCACAAUGUACAAGAGCUCAUAUAGGUUCGGAGAAGUUUUCUAGCAAAUAAACCAGUUUGAUGUUGUUAAUCCAGUGAUCCAUACUUAUUUGAUCAACACGUAUGUAUUUCUUAAUUUUUUUUUGUCUGUCAGUGUGGCAACACCCAUUAAUUUCACAAAACUCAUGCUUCCGAGAAGCUCCACUUUGGAAAGACUGCACUAGCUAGUGAAUUGGGGGCAGAGCUGCUAUCUUUGGGCUCCAGCUGGGACUUUGCAAGACACAAUGUUGCUCUGAAGAUAAAGCAUGUCCUACUCAUCUGUGCAGACAACUGAGGCCAGUUCCAGCUAGAGCCAUUGUCCACCCUGAGCCCAUAUGGACUCUGUCAAAGGGCUCCCUGGAUCCUGGCUUUAGUUAGGCUCAGUGAGCGGGAGGUGCCGGCCAGAGACCAGAAGCUGGGAGGAGGAUGAGAAUGGAGCAUUUCUUCCCACGGGAUGGUCACAUGGUAAGUCAGGGAGUUGGGAGUCCCUCUCCAAGUUUUGGAAACUACUCACUCCCUGCCCUUUCAGGCCUUGAGGUGGUACUGGCUCCUUUCUGCUGCUGGUCCCAGAAUCCUACACCAUCUCUUGCUCUCUCCACAUCUUGUCCGUACUUUGUAAGUCACUGGGUUUUUUGUUUGUUUGUUUUGUUUUAAUUAAACUCUCUUCAAAUUACUCAGUUUGAGUGUGCUGUUUCCUGACCGGAUCCUAACAGAUAGAGGCACAUGGCAGUUGACAUUUUGCACUUAAAUCUUUGACUAUCCUCAAUUUGCCUCUAGAAGUUUCAGAUAAAUUCUUAAAAGUGGAUCAACAGAUAAACAUAUGUUUGCACCACUUCAUUCCUAUUUGCCACAUUACUUUCCAAAGAUCAGUGAUGCCAAAU
Molecule: long non-coding RNA, 1113 nt
Filed under: Homo sapiens (human)
Lineage: Eukaryota; Metazoa; Chordata; Mammalia; Primates; Hominidae
Description: HSALNT0370297
Source: RNAcentral